RNAcentral lists this long non-coding RNA (37957 nucleotides) under Malus domestica (apple). RNAcentral's name for it is "long non-coding RNA (MDOM_LNC011648)". The record is from RNAcentral. Lineage: Eukaryota; Viridiplantae; Streptophyta; Magnoliopsida; Rosales; Rosaceae.
ACAAGUUCUUUGUGGGAUAUUUUUUUCCCAAAAUACUUGUUUUCUCAGUAUCACAACUAGCAUGAUUCAUCCCUUUUUCUCCCUUAUGUUUAACUUUACCGGGGAUCUAACCUUGCUGAAUGUUUUAUGAUUCACUCGACAUAACCUAAUUGGAAAUGUCCAAAUAUCAUAGGGUACACAAAUCAAUUGGAACGCAAAUGAUAAUAAAUAGGCUAAUCUAUUUGUUCAAUUCUCCUAAUUUCCUAAAUGACACAAAUCUAUUGGAAAGCUUCGUUUCCAUAUCAAUCAUACUCAUUCUACAAUAAACACUUCAGAAAAAUAUAAAGAACUAAUCAAACUUCUGUGACCCCAUUUGCGCAAAAUGGUUUUUUCUUUCCGAAAAUAGGAACAUUUUGAAAUAGCGCGGGAAAUGCAUAUUGCAUACAGGGUGCCACUUCGUAUUGCAUGACACGUUGAACAUUUUUAGGAAGAAACACGUUUCCUUAACUGAUGACCAUGACCUAAACCAAUAUCUCAUAUAUUUCAUUUUCAGUUUCAGAAACAUGAUCUCCCAUUAAAAUCACAUUUGAACUGCGACGACCCCUAGCAUUCCUCAAAAACAUGCUGUUCUAGCCUAAUACACAUGCUUAUCGAAGGAACAGUUUCAGAAAUCUACCCACCAAACAACUCCUUACUCCUCAUCAUCAAUUUAAUCCACAAAACUCCCAAAGUAUUUAUCUUUUCUUAUUCCUUUUCAAUAAAGUCACACUCAUAACAACUAAUUUCCUGAAAGAAAAAAAUUCCUUUACACAUACAGAAACUGGAACAAUUCCAAACACAGACCGUUAUCGAUUUCAAGUACAUAAAAGCAUUUUAUGCAAAGACUACAAGAAAUUCAUCACCAACAUGCAAAUAUAUAACAAGCAAUUCUGUAGAUACACACACACAGACAUAUAGAUACACUUAUAUACAUAUGUGCAUAUGUGUGCGUGAAAAAUCAUACAUGCAAUUGCCGAUCUGAGCCCCCAAAAAAUGUAUAAAAUUAACUGAAAAUUGCUGUGCAAAAAUUCGACUUUAUAUGUGUAAAAUUGAUAUGUCCAGAGAUAUAAAUACAUAAACUUUAUGUAUCUGUGAAAGGAGAUGUGUGUUAGUAUACCAAGACGGCGGUGGGGAAGCCAUUGGAGAGAGGUAGGAGAUUUGCACGGCGUCGCAACGGGGAGGUUCUUCGGGUCUCUGCCGCUUCCUGCGCUUAAGCUGAGAGAGAGGUGCUACUCGGACUAAAGAAAAUGAGGUGCUUUAUAUAGGCUAGGGUAAUCGGGUGCAAAGAGGUGCACCGUAAACAAAAAACUGUUGUUUUUUAGGGGGGUACGUGUAAAUUGUAGACAUCGUAAUAUUAUAUUAAAUGAUAUUUUUUUUAGUAACAAUCAUGUUACCACCAUAAAUAUUUCCAAGUGUAUUUAUAGGACGACACAAAGUCAACAAGGCUUCCCGCUUUGUGAGGAUCAGAAUAACAAACGUCUAUUUUACGCAGCUUAAAUUCUUGAUUACAAAGAGUAACUUUUUCGUUGCAGCAAGGCUGUUUCCAAGUGUUUUGAUUAAUUUAUGAUAUUUUGACUUGCAUUUAAGUGUGCUUCGUAACAAUAAGCUUUCUUAAUACCGUACAAAUCAUUCGUCGAGUUUGUAUCGAGUUAGUAUCACUCAUGCGUUGAAAAAAAAACUCUCAUUAAUAUCUUUGUUGUUAUCAAUAAAGUCUAAACCAAACAUUUUAUCUGAAUUCACAUUUCGAUGCAAAUUAUCCAUUAAAGCUUUUUGAAGACUUACAUAGUGGUUUUUAGCCCAUUUUUUAUUUUUACAAAUCAACAAAUCAAAAGAGAUUGCCGGCUGCAGGACUCAAAGGCCUUGAUUCAACGUAGAGAACAAUCCUUACGAACUCAACUAACCUUCGCUAAAAGGGUUAGUUACUUCUUUGUCGUUGAAUAAUUGUACAAAUUUAUUGGUUUAGUGGUACAUAUAUAUGUUUUCACAAACCAUGGAUAUCAUUGAAUGCUUCUUACUCAUCUACUCUUCUUAUUACAACCUUACAGUUGAAAAUGUUUCACUCGCAUAAAUUUUUGUGAACCUUAACACUGUUGCGUGAUGAUCAUUACCCGAGUUAUAAUAUGAGUAAAAUCAAAUACCACGUGACUCGAAUGCUAGUCCGAGUUAUAAUACGAGUGAGGUGUUUCGAAUAGACAUAAAAAAUUACACCUUAUUGCUUUGGGGUGUGUGGAUCCUCAUUGCUUUGGAUUGUGAUAUCCACACACCUCAUUUUACUUCUCACACACCUUUUUAAUUUUCGACCGUCGGAUCGGAUGAAUUGAAGAAGAUCAAUGGACAUAAUUAUCAAGGGGUGUGUGAGAAGUAAAAUGGGGUGUGUGGAUAGCACACCCACACACCCCUAUUGCUUUUCUUGAAUUGCUAUUGCCGCCUACUAUCCCUACCUGAACAUAAAACACCAUUUAUUUACAGCACGGGAUAUUUAAAAUGUCUUCUUUACAAGAAAAACUUCCAUGUCACAGGUUUCAUACCUCCUCCGUUUCUCUCUCUCUGCAGAGAAAAGGAGGGGGUAUGAAACUGAUAUAGCUAAGUUUUCCUCCUCAACUGGAGGUUCCCAAAGUGAUUUUAAUCAAAACCAUGUGGAGUACCUCUAUCUGAACUGCAACUGAAUCAAUUGAAACAUAUUUUUCGCAAAAGGGGAUUCAAAUUUAUGAACAAAAGGGUAAAUUCAACUGCCCAAGUACGCAAAAAUAGUCAACAAAUGAAACCAGAAGUUCCAUUACACCCUUCAGGAUCUUAUCACAUCACAAGAAAUGUAUGAUAAAUGAUAAAGGACGACUUCGAGCCAACAAGGCACCCCCCUUUGCAAGGGUCGGAGGAGGGGGGAUGUCAACAAAUACUAGCUAAAUCGUUGAAAACAGCAUAUAUGCUAGUCAUGUUCUUUCUUUUUUUACUGUAAAAGGGUAGAGAAAAAUCAGUUCACAACUGCAUCAUCGUCAACAAUAUUGUUUUACAGCGAAGAAUCUACGAGACAGAUACCAGAUGUUAAGCAUAAAGGUAAGAAAUUGCAUUAUAAUUACAAAACCUCCCAGAGUUUGAACACAUUAAGAUCACCACUUUGCUUUUUUCUCAGCUUUCAGUCACAAGCCUGGAGAACAAAAACGAAGGAACUUACAGGUUUCCGCUUCCAUGUUGUGCCCACUAAUGAUCUGAUGGCGACUGCUGCUGGUCUGGAGCCUGCUGCCACAUUGGCUGAGUCAUGUAGGGGUUAGACUGCUGAGCAUACAUAGACGGAUCCAUCAUAGGCUUACCCAUCAUCAUUCCAGGAGCCCCCACCUGAGGUGCGUGCUGAGGUGGCAUAUAGCAGUAUGGAAGUGCAUCGGCAGGCCCCCCAACAGAAACUGUACCCCUCGGAAUUGACCCAAGGACUUCAUCUUUCAGAUCCUCCCUUGGGACAAUGUCUACCAAGAAAUCAAAGAUAUCAGUCCUUGUGAUUGCAGCUGCAAUGUCAUUCUUCUGGAGUGUCCUCCGCUUGUCUCUUCCGUGUGAUUCCAAGACCUCAAUGUCAAUUCCAAUAUGAACAUUUCACAUGCCCUGGCAAAUAUCACAGGUGCCUCGGCUGAUAUCAUUCUCACAUCCUCAUCGGCCUUCAUAAUCUUCUUGAUCCUUGCCAAGGGAAGGCUAUGGUUCUUGAAAUCAGUGACCUUGUCGAUUUCUUGAUACUGGUUUGCCCAGAAAGUUUGCAGCUGCUGCUGAAGUUGUUGCUGCUGCUGCUGGUGGAUAUGCUGAUAAGCAAGCUGGUGCUGCGCAAGCUGAGCUCCAGGUGAUUGGCUAGCGGAUUGCAUAGCUCCCACUGUUGCGGAAACUGACCCCGGAUUUGGGCUCCCAACCAUUUGAUUAUGCUGAUAAGGGUUAGAACCGUAAGUCAACUGAGCUCCACUACCUACCAUCCCCAUAGAUUGGGGUUGGUUAUGCCCUUGCGGAUCCAUCCUGGUUGAAUUCUGCAACUCGGCCCUGAUUGAAACAAAGAACGGAAAAGGUGUCUGCUUUAGAAACCUAAUAGUUACUAUAUGCAUUCCUAAAAUACCAAGGGAUCUCCUUUUCACACACAAUGAAUGGUUAAUUCCGACCGAUCCAUCUUGUGCUACGUUGCAGAUAAAUCUAAACAGUUUGUUCUCUCGUUUUUCGUUUUUCCUCUUUAGACAACCAAAUAUUAAGAAUACUAAAACAACAACAAAGCUUUAUCCCAUUAAAUAGGAUCGGCUGUAUGAAUCAUAGAAUAUCAUUGCACUCGGUUAAGCAGGCAUAGCCCUCCUGCAGAAAAACUUAUCAAUUCACUGAAUGAAGGGUCUCUAAAUGCUAUCUUACAACUAAACAUCUACAGAAAAUCAACGAGAUUCGCAUCCCGCCACCUGGUUGCCACUCGAAAUAGUACCCACCUCACAAAAGACAAUUUUUGAUAAUUUGAUUCUCUACUCUGCAGAAAUCAUUCUACCACCACCAGCUUAAUUAAAAUUAUGUUUUAGAGAAAAAAGAAUUAGAAAAACUAAGAAAAUGUGAAUAAAAUUCCAUGAAAACUAUAAUUCGAGGUCGAAACGCUUGAGAUACGAUCAUGCAAUUAAGCCAAAAACAGUUUCCACCAACAAAAAUCAUGCAAAACAGGAUCAAACCCGACAACAAAAUCCAAAAUUCGAUCUCUGACAGAUACCAAAAACAACCGAAAAUUCAAAACUCACAUCCGAAAAACAAAAAUGUUGCAUGGGAAAAGAGCAAAGAUCGCCCAUUUGGCAAUCUAAGAUCAAACCCACCACCCACACGCUUACACACAUAAACGCAGAAAUAUAAAAAAAAAACCCAGAAAACCGUGUGUGGGCGUGGGCGUGGGCGUGUGCGCGUUUCUCUGGUACCUUUUAUCAAACAGGUGGUGGGCGCUGCUACUACGCAGGAUUCGAGAUUACCGAGUACCUGGAAAAAAAAAAAAUCUUCAGAAAAAAAGCGACUCGGAAACAUCCAUCUGGGCAAUGAGAAGAAAGUCCGAAUUUUUUAUAUAUUUUUUUCCGUUUUGGGAAAUUAAUCGUACGAAGAAAGAUCCAGGAUUUCUGGGAGGUUCUUGGGUUUGCAACCACAUUGGAUUAUAGUUUUUUUAUAGUUUUUUUUUUCGUAAAGAUUAAUGAUGUUUUUAGAAGACAAACCUAAAAAAGGAAGAACAAAAGCUGCGAGGGAGUGUUGGAUUCUGACUUAGAUUUGUCAGAAAACAUUGAACUUUUAUGGGAGUUUGGUUUUCUGUUUGACGGUUUUGCCCUUGGUGGAAGUUGGCAUUUUACUAUUAGGGGUAAAUGGUCUUAUGGUUCCGAGUUUUCCGAUGAUACGUGGCGAUGUUCGUUCUACUUAUUUGGAAUUCUGAAAUCAAAUCAUUCGUAACUAAAAUGGAUGUGACCUCAUUAUAAUUUUAAUUAUUGAUUAACACAUAUUAAAUUUAUAAUAAUAAAAUUAAGAAAAGUGAAGUUUAUAAAUAUGUGUCAGUUAAUGAUUGAGGUCACACAUAUGCCCAUUUUGGAUGCAGAAGAUUUGAUCUCUUGAAAUUCUUAUCUGGUCUCUGUGUCAAAAGUUGAUGGACCGGGAGAGUCAAACCACUCAUUUUAAAUUAUGGAGUCUUAACGAAACACUUCUGGUACUGUUCACUUUUAACGUUAAGGACAUUUUUACUCUAAAAAGUCACUCCUGAUAUUAUUCACAUACAACACAUUUUUGUCAUUUUGAUAAAACUCAAAGUUUUCAAACUAUUUUCAUUAGUUUUCUUUUUAAAUUAUGCAAUCCUCAUUAGUCCAUUUCACUACCCUACCCCACAAAACCAAGGAUCCGAAUCUUUCUUUCUCUCUUUUCAAAUGCUCGGAUCUCCGAAUUCUUGGUCACUGAAUACAAAGAUCCAGAGAGAAUCUCAGCUCACUUAUUUAGAAUUGUGAUUGUCACCAGAUCUAUAGAUUCUUAAUUUUACUCUUAAUUUAUUUUUAGGGAUAGGAAAUAAUUAAAUUGGAAUGUUAUCUUAACAAUCUGGAAAGAAGGGAAAGAAUUUGGAUUAGUCUUGAGUAUUAUAUUAGUUGUCAUUUUGAUUUUUUUUCCUAAAAAUUAAAUUGGAAUGUUAUCUUAACAAUCUGGAAAGAAGGGAAAGAAUUUGGAUUAGUCUUGAGUAUUAUAUUAGUUGUCAUUUUGAUUUUUUUUCGUACAAGAAUUUGCGUACGUUAAACUAAAUUUCUACAAGAAUUUGCAUAAGUUAAACUUAAAUUUCUAAUCUCUCUUACUACUUGAAUAAUUGUUUGAGUUCUCCGAGUUUUUACUUUCCAGUGUUUCUAAACACUGGAAUAAAAGUCUUCCAUUCUCGUUUGUCGAGGACGAGCAUGUAGAAUUUCGUUAUCAACCCAUUUUGCAAACCGAAGAAUCACUUAUGGCCUGUUUGGUACUAUACUUGAAUCUAAUUUUUUUAACUCAAAUUUUUUUUUUCAAGUUUUAGGCCUUAAAAACUUGUUUGGUAUGACUAUUUUAAAAAACUGAGUUCAAGACUAACUCAAAAAUAUAGUUUAUUCUUUAAAAACAUAAAAAAUGAGUUUUUAGAGUUUUUAGAGUUUUUAAAGUUUUUAAACUUAAACUCACUCAUUUCUUUUUUCUCCUUCCUCCCCUCUCACUCUAAAUCUAUCUCUCUAUUUUCUUCUUUCUUUCUCUUUUUUUUUUUACCUUUUUCGUCUCUCCUCCAAUCCAAUCAAGUUUAAGUCAUAAGAUUUAAAAUUUUUAAAUCGCAAACCAAUCAAGUUUUUGAGUUUUAAAGAAAAUUGUUUUCAGGAAAUGUUCUUAAGAAAUGUUUUGAGAAAUGAUAAAAAAUUUCAAAUAGGAUACCAAAUAGGCUCUUAAAAAUUCAAUCUUUUUUGACCAUUAAUGUGAAUCUUAUUGCUAUCAUUCAAUUUAUUUAAUUACAACUCUGAUGGGUUAAUUGGGGUGGAAUCUUGGUGAACCAUAUUCGACUCCUCUACAAACGGCUAUGGGCGAUAAAUGAAGUUUGUUAUCGUGGGACGAGCUGUAAACUUAAACAUUAGUUGGUCAUCUCAAUAGCUUUGCGAGUUUUGAUUUACUCGUUGCACAAGUUGUGGAGCUGGUUCAUGUGACCGAAUCUUAUUUUAUUUUCUUUAGUGUACACCAACUUUAAAGUUGCUAAUUAGCAACUUAUGUUUGAUAUAACAAAAACUAACAUAAUUUAAUUGAGUUUGACAUCCCAAACAAGUGAGGAAUGUUGGUUUGAAACUAGCUAUUUUUCGAAAAUGUAUUUCAAUUUUUAUUCAUGGCCUUGCAAAAGCAUGCUUUACAACUUUUAUAUUUGAUGGGUUUUCUUUUCUUUUUUCUAAGAUAACAACUGUAAUUUGCUUUUAUUUUUCGUAACACAUGGAGGAUAAAAAGAAAAAGUAGUUGUAGUACAAAAAAGAAAAAGAAAAGGAAAAAAAAAGUACUUUAUAUCUUUCAGUUUGACUAUAGAAUGGGCCCCUGAACUUACACCUUAGUUUAUAUUUGAUCCAUGAACUAAAUUUCCGUUAAUUUACAUCAUAGAAUUUUGUCAAUGUGGAGAAUUAGUCCCUCCAUCCUAACUCUGUAAAUUAACGGAAAUUCAGUUUAGAAACUAAAUCUAAACAAAGACGAAAGUUCAGGAACCAACACUAGAGUUUACUCUUAUAUCUUUUAUGGGAAAUUUCCUUUUAGAGUCUCGAGGUUCCUAUGUUUAUUUUAUAAAGUACAAUUCUAUGAAACUAGUACAAUAUAUAUCAACAUUGGUUUUUCAUAAACCAAAAAUCCCAAAUAAUGUGAUUAGCAAGUGUUGGACAUUAAUAAUUUAAUUAUUAAGUAUUAAGGGUAAACCAAACCCAAUUAGCAUAAGUUUAAGUUCCCUAAAACUUGAAUUUAUGGUGAUUGUGACCAUGACCUUCAUUUGAAGGACCACUUCAGAUUCACAUGAUCAGAUCGAACCCACCACAUGUAUGGAGUCAUGGACCACUUCACUUUUGAUUGAAACUUCGCUUUGAAAUCCUACUUCAUUACCUUCCUAGUAAGGAUUUUGCUAGAUUCAGUUGUCAGACGCGUGUGAUUGUUGAUGUCCGUAGAUACAUUGUGAGAUCUACUUAAAUAUAGUGUCAUCGAUCAAUCAUGUGUCUGACACGGUUGUUGGUUGUGAAUGAAUUAUAAGGGAUGAGAUCAUCUUUGGAUCUCUACCCUAAAACUGACGGAUCCAGAAAUCUGAACCAUUUAAUUUAAACUAUGCGGCCCCUUUUAGCACAUCACACUGACCCACCUCACACACAAACCCGCUCCCUUUUCUCUCUCACUCAUGACUCAAAUUUUAGGAUUUGUCUGCUCUAGAGGCAUAGAUCCGUAGAUGAUCUCAUUCUGAAUUAUAAGACACACUUAGGUGUACAAGACUAAAGUGAACACACUGUUUUUUAGUUUUUUUUUUUUUUUUUUUUUUUUUUUUUUUUUUUGGGCGGGGGCGGUGUUGGCCAAAGCCAUUGCAAAGCCUUUGGCGUUGUUUUCCAUCUAUGCAUCUAUUUCUUUGUACAUUUCACUCUUGCAGUAAAAGCCUAGUUUUUCAAUAAGACGAUUAUAUAAACUACUCUAAUCUAUAAAGAAAAGGACGAGGACUUGAACUCUGGUUAAAAAUGGGCUAGCAUUCGAACUCGGGCAUUUCACUCUGCAGUAAAAGUUAUAGUUCAAGCUAUCAGGUGUUUAGAUGAUUCAUGAACAUGAUUCUGAAUUCCAAAGGUCAAAAAGUAAUAAGGGCAUAUAUGGAAGAUCAAAAGCUAGAAAAUUAAGUAUUAAAACAUGAAAAGGCAUGUGGAAAGUAAAUAUGGGAAAGUGAAUAACGCAACCCUUCUAGUAGUCCAAAGAAUUUCAUCUAUCUGCCUAUCCGGUGUGAAAACAAUAAAAAUACCUAUAAACUGCAUGACACUUACAUCCGGGGAGUAAAAACUUGAAAGAGGGUGGAUGAUUCUUCCAAUAUGCAAUGUCCUUAUUGAUCCAUCAAUUAUUUCUUAAAUUGUCAGUGAAUGAUGCUUGUAUAAUAUGCACAAUCGAUCCAGGUUAGAGCUGGCAUGAUUAAGCUUGAGAUACGUUGUAGCUCUAUACCGUCCCUGGCUUCUUAGAUUUUCCGAUGGCAGAUCCAACCUAAAUGAACUUGGAAUCACCCUGAAAACUUGGCGAGCGAUUACCAAACUAACUGCCAUAAAAAUAACAUAGAGACCAACUAGGCAAAUGCAUAAGUUAAUUUACAUAUUUCGCCUUGACUAUAGAAUCUGUCCCUGAACUUACACCUUAAUUUAGAUUUGAUUUAUGAACUAAAUUUCCGUUAAUUUACAUCAUUGAAUUUUUGUCAAUGUGGAGAAUUAGUCUCUCCAUCCUAACUUUAUAAAUUAACGGAAAUUUAGUUUAGAAACUAAAUCUAAACAAAGAUGAAAGUUCAGGAACCAAUACUAGAGUUUACUAUUAUAUCUUUUAUGGAAAAUUUCCUUUUAGAGUCACGAAGUUCUUACUUUUUCUUAUAAAGUAAAAUUCUAUGAAACUAGUCAACAUGUAUCGACAUUGGUUUUUCAUAAACCAAAAAUCCUUUGGUCCCAAAUAAUGUGAUUAGCAAGUGUUGGACAUUAAUAAUUUAAUUAUUAAGACCUAUUAAGGGUAAAUCAAACCCAAUUAGCAUAAGUUUAUGUUCCCUAAAACUUGAAUGUAUGUUGAUUGUGACCUUGACCUUCAUCUGAAGGACCACUUCAGAUUCACAUGAUCAGAUCGAACCCACCACAUGUAUGGAGUCAUGGACCACUUCACUUUGAAAUCCUACGUCAUUACCAUCCUAGUAAAAAUUUUGCUAGGUUCAGCUGUCGAACGCGUGUGAUUGUCGAUGUCCGUAGAUACAUUGUGAGAUAUACUUAAAUAUAGUGUCAUCGAUCAAUCAUGUGUCUGACACGGUUGUUGGUUGUGAAUGAAUUAUAAGGGAUGAGAUCAUCUUUUGAUCUCUGCCCUAGAGCUGACAGAUCCAGAAAUCUGAACCAUUUAAUUUAAACUAUGCGGCCCCUUUUAGCCUAUCACACUGACCCACCUCACACACAAACCCACUCCCUUUUCUCUCUCACUCAUGACUCAGAUUUUAGGAUUUGUGUACUCUAGCGGCAAGGUUCUAAAAACGCUAGGCGUUAGUUGGGCGGCAGGCUAGCGCCUAGGCGGCUAGACGGGAGCUAGGCGGGCGCCUAGGCGGAUUUAGAUAAAUUUCUUGUAUAUCUUGUAAAUAAGUGCAUAUUGACACUUACAAAAAAUUAUACUUGUAUGAAAUCCAUGGAUAAGAUAAUAAAAAAAAUGAUAAAAUGCAAAAAGAGUAUUCAACAAGUCCAAAAUUUAAAAACACAUUAAGCAUAUAUGCCUAUUGACCCUAAAAAACUACCAAGCCUACGUGGCACGCAAGUCAAGUAACUAAUAAGCUAACUACGUCAUUCGGUUGUGUGUAGGCGUGCCAACUCGUCGGCCGAGGAGUAAAUUUGUUGAUGUUGUGUUGGGUGCACUGCUGAUUUUUUGAUCUUGCGACUGUGGCCGAGGAAGGAACACGCCUCGGCCUUCGGGCAGUGUUGUUUAUCCAAACUGAAGGUGCUUCACGGUCGGCUGAUUCUACGGCAACAGUCCAAACUGAAGAUGUGUUGGCGAAAAAGGAAAAUAAAAAUCUCAAGGUUAUUGAGAGGUUUCGCGUAGAGCGAGGGUUUGCGCAUGGCAGUUUGUGUGUUGAGUUGGAGAAUCUUCUUCCAUUGCCACUGCCUCUAUAUUUAUAGGGACAUAUGCGCGUUGGUUGAUAAGCCAAUAUAGGCUUCUACCAUGUACUAGAACUCUUCCACUAAUCGCGUCAGAUAAGCCUUAUAUUCCCAAGACUCUGAACUUAGUAAAAAAUACAACCAAAUUCAACCCGUGCUCAGCCUUAUCACAUCGAGUCCCAAAAUAAACUGCACGCCUGGAGAUGAACAUCUAAACAACCACCAAUUAUAUAUAUACAUACUUCCUCACCAUUAAGAAAAACUUUUUUUUUCCUUAUCCUUCACAGGCCUCCAAAGAACCGUGCCCUCACAUCAAUGUUUUCCCUCUUUAUUUCCACCAUUUGUAAAAUCCUUUCCCAUACGUAUAUGCAUGCGCUGACUUAAUGAAUUGCAAAUGAACUACAAUUCUUCCACCAAUAUGUAUCUGUGAAGAGAAGGACAAAGAUAGGGCCAGGAUUUAAAACCACACUAUAUCUUUUAAUAAUAGCAAAAUUAUCUUCACCUUUCAUCCGACGGUGUAAAGCUAUGCUCACUCAACAGCCUUGAUUGCAUGGGCCGACGGUGUAAAUUUGGGUCCAAACAAUGCCAUAUAACCAUAGUGAGGAGUAUUGUAGGAUGACAAAUGUACAACAAGUUCACAAUUUUCAACCACUUAGACUUAGAUAGGAUUUUUUAUUUUAUUUUUUAAUUUCAUGAAAAAAAAAACCACCUAGCCCCGCCUAGCCCCGCCUACCCUGCCUAGGCGGCCGCCUAGAGCCAAUCUAAUUUUUCCAACCGAUUUGCAAGAAAACGCCUCGGCUCACCACCGCCUAGGCCGUUUUUUAAAACAAUGUCUAGAGGCAUAGAUUCGUAGAUGAUCUCAUUCUGAAUUAUAAGACACACUUAGGUGUACAAGACUAAAGUGAACACACUGUUUUUUAGUUUUUUUUUUUUUUUUUGCGGUUGGCCAAAGCCUUUGGCAUUGUUUUCCAUCUAUGCAUCUAUUUCUUUGUACAUUUCACUCUGCAGUUAAAGCCUAUUUUGUCAAUAAAGCGAUUAUAUAAACUACUCUAAUCUAUGAAGAAGAGGACGAGGACUUGAACUCUGGUAAAAAUGGGCUGGCAUUCGAACUCGAGGCAUUUCACUCUGCAGUAAAAGUUAUAGUUCAAGCUAUCAAGUGUUGAGAUGAUUCAUGAACAUGAUUCUGAAUUCCAAAGGUCAAAAAGCAGCAAGGGCAUAUAUGGAAGAUCAAACGCUAGAAGAUUAAAGUAUUAAAACAUGAAAAGGGAGUGUGGGAAGUAAAUAUGGGUGAGUGAAUAGCACAACCCUUCUAGUAGUCCAAAGAAUUUCAUCUAUCUGCCUAUCCGGUGUGAAAACAAUAAAAAUACCUAGAAGCUGCAUAUCACUUACAUCCGGGGAGUAAAAACUUGAAAGAGGGUGGAUGAUUCUUCCAAUAUGCAAUGUCCUUCUUGAUCCGUCAAUUCUUUCUUAAAUUGUCAAUGAAUGAUGCUUGUAUAAUGUGCACAAUCCAUCCGGGUUAGAGCUGGCAUGAUCAAGCUUGAGAUACGUUGUAGCUCUAUACCAUCCCUGGUUUGGAUUUUCCGAUGGCAGAUCCAACCUAAAUGAACUUGGAAUCACCCUGAAAACUUGGCGAUUACCAAACUAACUGCCAUAAAAAUAACAUAGAGACCAACUAGGCAGAAACCCCAGAACCUAGGCACCCGGAAUGUAAUCACCAAUAGAGACCCCAUCAGGCUCAGAAGCAAGAAAACAAAUGCAAUCACUAUACCCACGUGGAACUGAAGCUCGUACACCUCGGGAUAAACAUUGUAUGUCUGUAUAACCAAAGCUGUUCCAAGUCCAACAAGCAUGUUAAACUUUGGCCCAGCAAAACACCCAGCCAUGGCCAUUGCAGGGUGGCCUGCCUUGGCAACGGUGACAUCAGCAACAAGAUCCCCCACCGAAUUCCCCCAUGCAAGAACUGUGAGCCCCAGAAGUGCAGGUGGCAACUCCAGAAGUGUUCCAAGAGCAGCAAGGCAGUUCAGCAAUUCUCCGGCAGUAGUGGAUAUCCAAAAGACGCUCAUUACAAAUGCUAUAAGCAAUACGGGUAGUUGCUCAGUUUUGGGGGGCUCUUUUUCCACUGCAUAAUGAAGAAGUGCAAGAGAGGAGGUUGCCAAGAGGAUUACAAACCAUAGAGGCAAAUGGGUGUCGGAAAGGAGAAAAACAACAGGAUGAUGGAAUGGUAUGAACGAAUUGCAAGCAUAUAGAAGUGCUAGAGGGCAAAGAGCAAUAUUGGCUGAUGAGUAGAAUCUGCUCCAUUCAGAAGGUGCAGCUUGAGGAAUUGUGAGCUUCAGAAGAAUUGAGACUGGAAGCUCCCAUGCUUUUGAGAUCUGCAUACAAAAUGAAGAGAGUUAACAAAUGUCUGAAAUGAGCUAAUAAAAUUGUAUAGGUGAAAAAUGAGCUCAAUCAGUAUAUAAAGUUCCACACUUUCUCCCGGUUCAUGCUUCUAAAAUUUAUAUCACACAACAAUCAGGUAUCUCCAGUUAAGGUUAUCCUUGCUCAUAGAUUGAAGUUUCCUAAUUCUGUGCAUUGUAAUUGAUAUAUAAGCGAAUUCCAACUCUCGAAGAUCUCCACUUCUGGCUAAUGUCAUCCAUUUCAUAUGCCCAAAGUUUUUCAUCUCAAGGACUUUAGGCACGAAAACUUUCACCUACAUUCAGCUACCGAAAUUAUUUGGUCCAAUGUGCUUUAGGAACAAAACCAUCAGAACAUAUAAACCAAAGUGCUGAGCUACUUAGCAAGCUGUAUAGAUUGAUACUACAACCAAAAUUCCUCUAUUAGGUAGCUCUUCUCAGAGCAGUACAACCAACCAACAACGGAAAUUCUGAUCGAAUUCUCGAAAACAUGUAACAAACCAUUGACACUAAUUCUAAACUCUGAUACAGAUACAAUCAUACAAUUGCAUACAAUGCACAAUCCACCUAAACUUUUGCAGAACAAACACAAAAAAAAAAGAACACAAGUUCAUCUGAAACAUACCAUUCCAAGAGCUCUCCGAAACCUGAAACUCCGCUUAACAUGCCCGAUUCCGGCAUCCGGGACAACCAAACCCCUCUGCAUUUCACAAUCUCCGACCAAUCCCACCUCAACCCUGCUCUUCUUUCCUCCUCCGCCCAACCCCAAAUCCAUCCAAAACACCAACCCAACAAAAAGCAAGUAAAACCCAACAAACGCAACCGCCUGCCACAGAUAAAUCUCGGCGCUGAGAUACACAUAGAACAAGAACAGCGCCGCCGUCAGAUAAAACAGCACGUCCCUCACAAACGGCACCGGAUUGAGCGAAAAGGGCGCGGCGUAAAUCGCCACAAACCCCACAACGAACGCCGACACGAACGUGCCGGCGGACAGAAUUGCGACGAACCCAGUUCGGUACUGGCCCGUCCGGACCGCCGCAACCGACGCGAAGACGUCGGGGGCGCCGUUGCCGAGUGCGAGGAGGGUGACGGCGGCCAUGCUGGGUGUCAAAUCGAGGGAAGAGACGAGCUUUGUGGUGACGAGAGAGAAGUGAUCCUGGAUGAGAGAGAGGGAGGAGAGAGACAGUAAUGGGUUUUGGCGGAAGAGGCAGAAGUGGAGGUAGAGGUAGUUGAAGAGGCCAUUGGAGUGGCCGGUGGAGGAGCAGGGUGGAGUUUUUGCUGCGGUGGUGAUGAGGGACCUGUGGAGGGUUACGGGAGCUAGGGAGGGCUAGUUUGGGGCAUCGGGAGUUGGGGUAGUGAGGAGGAAGAAGAGAAAGGAGGAGAGGAGUGAGACAGAGAGAGAGAGAGAAUGCAGGUUUUGAAAGAGGAGGAGAGAGAGAUGGCCAUGCCAUUUAGCAAGCUGAAAGCUCCAAUCUUUGCGUCAAGUUUUUGGUGAGAGUGUGAGAGAGUCAGAAUUUUUGAAUUUUUGGAUCCAACUGAUUGAGUGGUUACCUGCCUCUACAAUGUGUAUUUGAACUCUGUUCAAUCCAUUUAACUCCAAAAAGAUAACUCUUCCGUUGCAAGAAACCCUUGAACUGUUUUUUCAAAAAUACUUUCAUUUGCUUUCAAUCAUUUUUAAAGCAAACGAGUCUAUUGUUCAAAAAUGUAAUUAUGCAAUUUAGAAGUAGGAUUUUAAGAGAAUUUUGGAUAUUUAAUCCUUUAUGACUUGUAUUACUUGUGAAACAAGUGAAGCCCACUUGAUAAGGUAUAAGUCCACCAAAAAGCAUAAGUAAAAGAGUAAUGCUACACUUAUCACCUAUUUGUAUCUUCAUUUGUAUCAUAUCUCUAAUAGAGAUAGGGUCCACCAACGCAUGUGAGCCUCAUUUUUAUUAGAUACAUGAUACAACUAGAUGGUAAAAGUAGCAUUUUUGUAAGUAAAUAUAUAACCGCUGAACUCUCCUUUCUCUCUCCCUCACCAUCCCGAUUCCUGGAGAGAUUUUUGAGUGUGACCGACAUAUAAAGUGGUACCCCACGUGUUACAAUACAAAUGAUGGGAUAUGUGUGUUAAAAAGUUAAUAACUUAAAAAGUAAAAUUUCCCACCACUUACAUAAAAACACGUGGUGUACCACCCGUGUUCUCGUCACAAUAAAAAAUUUCUCCAAUUCUCACUCCUAUCCUCCCUCCCAAAAUUUUCCUUCAACAAAUUGACAAAUUUCGUUUUUCUUUUACCAAAAGAGAAAAAAAUGGGUAAUUUGUAUGGUGUAAUUUUAAGCAAAAUCAUGAAAUAUUUUGUUAUCUUCAAAUUUCAUUUCAUUCCCAGAAAAUUGGGCAGAGAUGUUGAAUGUAACAGAGAUAUCUCAUGUUCCAAUAGCACUCAGCACGUGAUUACAAUUUAGAGAAAAUAAUAAAAUCUCGAGAUUGUAAUUAAGUAGUUUUUUCGCCUUGGGACAUUAUUCAUAAAAUAAUCACAAUUAAUUGAACAUAUACAAUAGAAUUCAUUAAAUUUUCUCUAUUAUCAAAAUUCAAAAAACCAGUUACAAGCAUGAUCAUCUUUGUAUCAUAACCAGCUACACAUAUAAUGUACAAACUUACCCAAAAAUCCAUGGCUAAGAACACCAAAUGCAUCUCAAGAAAUCAUAAUAAAAUUAAUCAGAAUUCAUAAAAUUUAAUUAGUUACAAGAGUUUGUGAUCGUAGUGGUAGACGAGAAAUUUUUCAGUAUGCCAGUAACAUGGGCUGGUGCACUAAGUGUCAUAAUACAAGUAGUUGGAAAAAAAAUUUGUUUAAGUAUCCAACCACUUGUAUUAUAACACUUAUUUUUUUUUAUCAAAAUUGUAUUAUAACACUUGCUAUAUUGAAUCAUGUUCCGGGCACAUUGAAAAACUCAUCAUCAUGACAACCCAGCUACAUAUAUCUGUUAAAAGUGGAAUAAAACUAAAAAUUAAAGCAAUUAAGAUUAUUUAACCUUCACCUCCGGCGGUAUGUCCUCACAGUCUUCGGGAAUUCCAUCAAAGAACCUAUACAAAAGCCGAUGUUUCUCUUGCUCCAGUAAAUCCAGGUCGGGAAUCUCCCCGGGAAUGUCCCACAAAACCUCAACAACCUCCUUCGUUGUCUUCUUCUUCGUCUCCGUCUCCUUCGUCUCCUUUUUACCUGCCGUUGAUGAAGUCGACGAUGGUUUUUUUACCUUUUCACCGCAAGAAGAUGAGCCAAUUUCUUUCUUAAUAACAAUCUUCUCACCAACAAGUUCUUCCUCAGUUUUCUGAUCUUUUUUAAUCUUCCUUCUUGUUUUUGUAAUCGUUUCUUGCGUCUUACGCCUCUUUGUAUUAGGGUUUUUCCCCAGUAUCUUUAUCUCGUGAACGAUCUCAACUUCUUUUCGUUUACGACCAUUAGUAACUGGUGGGGUGUGAUCAUCAUCACUCGAAGACUCCGUGGCAUCCGGGUCCAAAAAGCGGACGCGAACCACCUCCAAGCUCGGCUUCUCCUUUUCAGGUCCUUGUAAUGCUGACGCCGCUGCUACCUUUUCUUGUUUUCUCUUCUGUCCGUGGCAGGCGGGUUUUGAGGGUGGUGGUUUGGGUCGAACGCUGUAGUCACUUUUGGUGCCGUCGUUGGUGGUGAUGUUGAGCGGCUGUGGAGGGGCACUGGGAGGGGAGAGAGCAAGUGCUACUUCUUCCGUCUUCUCUCUUGUGCCUGCCCUGUCGGUAGUGGUAGCGGUGGUGGUGGUCUGGAGCUGUGGUGGAGGGGCGCACUGAUCAAGCACUGCCUCUUUCGACUUCUCUCCUACCUGACAUUUUGGUGGUGGUGGUUUGGAGAUGCCGCGGAGGAAAGGUAUUGGGAGCGGCGAGAGCAAGCACGACUUGUCUCAGCAGCAUCUCUCUCGUUUUUCGCUUUCUCGAACCGGAGUUGCUUGAAUCCUCCAUGAGUCCUGAGUGCUUCGUUUCACAAAGCAUAUGAAAAAAUAUCAAUGUUAGAGAGAGAACGAAGAGAGAGAGAGAGAGAGAGAGAGAGAGAGAGAGAGAGAGAGAGAGUACGUACGUAGCAAGAGUAGUGAAGAAAAGUGGAAUUGGGCUACAAAGAACCAGUGUAUAUGUGUAUUUAUAGGGAUUGUAACUUAAACGGUGCAAUUUCCCCAAACCCGUGCUUUAAUUUAAUUCAAAAGGAUUAAGGAUUAGGAGAGAGUAAAUUAGGGAUUAGGGGUUUCCAAAUCCAAGUAGGUAAGGGGUUUACUUCCUUGCGCCCAAAGGACAAUAUCUUCAAACGUUAGGGUUCUACUAGCAGUCUAGCACGCAGAGGAAACAAGAUCUAGAGUGAGAAACUAGACAGAGUGUGUGGACUUGGUUGACAAGUAGCAAGUCUCUGUAUUUUUAUAGGGAUUUGAUCGUAAUGAUCUAAGAUCGCCAACGGGAAUUUUUGCCCUCCAUUUAUUUAUUCUGAAGACAAACGUAAACUUGAAUUUGUCCAAAAUAACUUCUCUUUUAGAAAUGAAAGAGAAAGAAAGAUAUACGAGCAGGAUCAUCGUUAGGCAUCGACAACUCUUUUAACUCUUCAGUAUUUAGUUACCAUUUUUCUCUCCAUCUUCGUCACCAUGCAGGAAGGAACAAGUAGGGAUAUCUUGCAUCGAUGCUCUACAUCUCUCUCUCUCAACCCCAACUCACGCACUGCCAACCACCGCCGGCUCUGCCUCUUCGUCGGAUCUCCGAUUAUCCCUCCACUCCCUUCCCUCUCCCCCAGUCCAAUAAACCAAAAAAAUCCGAGGAUUGGUUUGGUUCUCACAAAUUUGUAUAAAGUGUCGUUUGAUAAACUAUUAUUUUUAUUCUUUUUUUUAUUUUUAUUUUUAUUUUAAAUUAAAAACUUGUUUAGUAAUUAUUUUCAGAGCUAUUCUCGUGCACAUUUGGAAUUCGGCUUAUUUUUAGUUUUCAGAUUCUGGAGAAAUGAAAAUUUAUUUCGUAUCUAUAUUCAAACAGCCCUUAGUAAUUUGUACCUAAAUCAAACAAACUAUAAGGGCGAAAGUGGAAAACUCAAAGUUCUGGGUGUUGGGUCCACAUAAGUGUUUUUUUUUUGUAAUAAAAGAGAACUGUUAUUAACACUUUAAAAUUUUCAUUCUACAAUCAUUUAUUUUUCUUUCUAUCUAUAGAAAAUUUGGAGUGUAAAAUGAGAUUUUUGGAGUGCCAAUAACAUUUCCCUAUCUAAACGGUAAGUUAGGUAGACCAAAUUUUUAAAACAAAUUUUCAAACCAAAUGACGUGUCACCAAUUGGAAAUAAGCUUGUUAAUUAACACUUAAGUAAUAAUUCUUCCUUCAUGGCCAAACGCAUUUGGGCCGAUUCUUCUUCCCGACGACAUUGGUUUUCAUUCAUUCUUGCCAUUUCGCUAGCAAAUUGUGCACGUAUCUGAUCUUGGGACUUUCCUUUUCUCUUUGCUUCAUUUUGCUUAUCUCUACCCGGGGGCCUUGCAAAAGAAGGAGUUGGGUUCAUUUGUUUGACACCUUCAUUGUCGGCAAAAUUCACACCUUCAUUGACAUCAUUUGGGGGUGGGGCUUCACUAUGAAAUAAUCUUCCACAUUGUUGGUUCGCAUCGGUUCCCCAUGACACGCCCCGACCCUGAUAUUCCUCGAAUAUCAGGAUAGGCACGUGCUGGCCGACACCUGAGGGUGACGAAAGCCACUAAUUGAUACAAAAGCUAAGAAUAAGAAGUAAAUAAGGGUUAUGAAAUUUAAAUACAAAGAAUUAAUAAUUUAGGAACGUGCUCAGAGUAUACAACUAAACCUAAUCACUAAAAAGAAUUAAGAUAAAAUUGAAUGAAUAAAGAAGUGAGUCCUACAGUCGAGAGGAUCCGGAGAUGCUGCUGCGGAAGUGCCUUGACGUCAGGAUUAGGUGCCUUGAUUCUAAGUCCUGAAUGGGGGCGCAAAACAAAGGUGAGUGGACCAAGUUCAUAUGUACGAUAAUAAUGAAACAGUUAUCAAGAUACUAACCCCCAAAGUUUAUAUAAUGAAAACUACUAGCAUAAUAAGUGAUGGAUGAAAUAAAAAUCCUAGCAUGCCAAAUAUCUCAAAAACCAUAUAUAUAGCGAAAUAUCAUUCGCAGAAAUCAGAACAAUAAACGUAUCAUAAAUUGUCUCGUAAACGCGAUGUGCUGCUAGAAAGAUCACUGAAUAAAUAUAACUCCCGGCCCAAUGCCUGCACCUCAGUCUCUGUGCCCGUAGCCAGAGAUAACUCCCUCCCGGCCCAAUGCCUGUCUCCGUGUCCCUCAGCCUUUCGCUAGGGAUUAUUUCUCCCGGCCUACAUGCCAACACCAGAUCCUCGCCCCAGGCGGCAUAGUGUCUACUAGGUACGCACAAAUAUUUACGUCUCUCAUAAAUACCACUUCAUAGCAUAGGUUACCGAAAAUCGUCUACGCUAUAAAGAGGGUUCAAAAUCAUGUUCUAGCAUCCUAUCGUCACCUAUCAGAUAGUCUACCAGAUCAUGGUUUUUAUAGAAAAUAGAUAUAUUAAAAUAUCGCUCAAUAUAGGCUAACAAUUAAUUCUUCACCAAAACACGAGACGAUAAACAAUAUAUUUAAUCAACAGGCUUCACAUAAAUUAAAUUAUAAAUCUGUAGGUAUGCUAAUCAUUUAUGAAAUUAAAUUAUCAAAUCAUGUAAUUUGAUAAGGGGUCCACUCACAAAUAUUCCUUAGCAGGCGAGUUGCGCGAAUAAGGAUUUAGAAUUUCUCCACUAGCAAUUUUACCUAAGAACAAGAAUUGUACAAAUAAUAAAUAAAAGGAUUUUUCUAAAAGAUUGGUUUUGAAUUAAAUUAAAUUAGGGGGUUUGGGAUUGGAUGGGUUUAGGGUUUUUAAUGGGUUUUGGGAACCUAGGGCUUUUGGAUUUAAAAGGGUAUGGAAAGGGGUUUGGGCUUAAGCCCAAACAUAUAAACUUAAACACACACACACACACACACACACACACACACAGGCACAAGGCCCUCGGGCCUCACUAUAGAAAACAGGGCUUUAAGCUUAGGACAUAACCAGCCCUAGGCCAAAACAAAAACUAAGGCCCGAGCCCUUUGGGCUUUAAAAUUUAAAUAACUAAAAAUAAAAACUGAAAGGGUUGGGGUACUGGGUUUAAACAAAACGGGCCGGAGGCCCGCGGGGGAAAUGGGAGAGGCCGGUUGGCCUGUGGCUUGCCGAGAGAGAAGGCCGGAGCUGCUACAGCUCCGGUCACCUGAAAACUGGAGCUUCAAGCUCCGAUCUAGGUACGAACGUGAAGCACAAGGAGAGAGGAAGAGAUUUAUACCUUCCAAAUAUUGUAACUCGGUCGGAGGUGACCGGAAAAGUCCUCGGAGUGCACGGGUUCGCCGGAAAAGUGGGUGUGUUCACCCAAACCGUUUCCAAAGAAAAACCUACGUAAAAUGGAAGGUUUAGACUUCCAAAUCACCACCAAACUUCAAGCUAGGUACGAGAGUGAGAGAUUAGAGGCUUACCCGAACUGAAACAGGAAGAAGACUCGUCGGAGCUUUGCUCCGAGCCGUCUAUCUCGUUGGACAGGGGUCCCCGGGUUCGUGGGGAGUCUCUCCUGAUGGUGCUAAGGUCCUCGCGAGUCCAGGGGGAGGGAGAGAAAGGAGAGUUUGAGGGAGAGAGGGAGAGAGAGCUACGGGGAGAGACAGAACACGAAAAAGAAGAAGAAAUGAGGAAGGGGGGGUUCACGGGGAUAAAAAAAAAAUAAGAGGGGUGGACCCCUUGGCUCACCAAUUAAAAACUUAAAAAAACAUUUUUAAAAAGAAUGGGGGUGGGUUUUAACACCCCAUCUCGAACAAUCUUUGAGAAUGUUCCAAGCAUGAUGCAACUUAAAAGCUUGAUUUUUUGAUGUAGUUCUUGUCUUGUAAAUUGUCAUUGCUUUGUCACCCUAUGCAACAAAUACAUAAAAACAAUUAGUUGCAAAAUCCUAUUAUGUACAUGAUAAAUAAAAUAUCAACAAAGAAACUCACAAUUUUUUAGGCGCCCCUUCCACUAGGCAUGUCAACCAUGACUCUUUCCAAGCUUCCCUUCCACAAAGUGCAUGCUUUGUUGAUAAUCUUCCACCAAUCAUAAACACCACCAACUUCCCUUUGACCGGCGUUGGAGUUUUCAUGGAACUUAUCAACGAUUUUACCCCACAAAACCUUUCUAUUUUGAUUGGUGCCAACGACACCAUCUUCACUAACAGAAAUCCAUGCCAAACAUAAAGCAAUAUCUUCGUCAAAGGUCCAAUUACGACCUCUAACAUGCUCUUUUGCCAUCUUGAAAAAUUUGGAAAUGAGAAGAAAUGAUAGAAAGAAAAAUUGGAAGAAUUGUAGGAGAAAAGUGAGUUUUGUGUAGAUGUUUGAACAAAUACAUAGGUAUUUAUAGAGUUUUGGUUGAAUUUUAAGUUAAAUUAUUUUUUUUAAAUUAUUUUAGCCGUUAGAUUUAAAUUUGGACCGUUAGACCUUUUUCUUUUACCGUUAGAUUUGAUUAUAUUCGAUUAAGCCGUUGGAUUCAAUAAAUAUAUAAAUAUGAAACUAAAAAAAAACCAUUUGAAUGUGGACCGUCAACGGUCCAAUUACCACAGCCGUGUGAUGGAGAAAAUUAGCCGUUGGCUACAUAUUUUCUGACACCCCGGGGGACACACCCACGUGGGUGAGGGUCCACCUCGGCUGAAUGACUUGCGCGUCUGCGCGUGGAGGAAGUGUGGCUGGGCAUUUGGGCUUCACAGCACAAUUUCAGUCUCAUCCAUGGGUCCCACUUCAAUUUGUGGGCUAAAUUUGUGACCGGUAUUUGCCUUUAUUUUAAGUUUUAGGUUUUAGGUUUGGUUUAGGUUUUGGGUUGGAGUGGAUUUGGAGGGGGGAAGGGAAAAUUUAUGUUAUAAGUCACCAUUGGAGAUGGACUAAUGGAGAUGUUGAUGUUGUUGUGGUGAUGUUUGUUGGUAAGACAAGCCCUCGAAUGGGCUGAGAUAGAGAGAGCCGAGAGAGUGUAAGGGAGAGUGAGGGAAAAGAGAGAAAGAGGAAGACUUUUCAGAAAAAAAAUAAAAAGAAAAAAAAAGAAAAGAAAGGGAAAGGGAACCGGGGGACAAAACAAGGGGUGGGCCCUUGGGCACAUCAUUUAAGACCCAAAAAUCAUUUUAAAAGCAAGAUAAUCUCAAACCUAGUGAAAAUACAAUUUAAAUUAGGAAUAAGUGUAACACUUUAGCUUGAGGGGGUGUGUUAAGGAUACAAUAGGAGUACCAGUCAAUGAUGUACCUGAAUAAGAACUUACUUAGCUGUUAAGCUAUGAUUGCUAUUUAUACUUGUUGUACACACAGUUUGGAAUGAAUGAAAUAGACUCAUUUUCUCCACAACAACUUCUCUCUCUAAGUUUCUCUCACUACAAUUCUCUCUCUACUCCUAGCAUUUCUCUCACAGAGCAAUGAGUUUCUACAACAAGUUUGUUCUUUCAAUCCUGCAAUCCUGGUACAAUCUUGCAGGUUGAUGAUCAGCAACAAUCCUUACUCCACAACAGGCGCUAUUUCCUCAGUCUUCGGGAAUUCCAUCAAAGAACGUAUACGAAAGCCCAUGAAUAUGAUACUUUUUCUCCAGUAAAUCCAGAUCGGGAAUCUCCCCAGGAAUGUCAUACAAAACAUCAACCACCUCCGUCGUCUUCUUCUUCGUCUCCUUUUUCUUCUUCUCCUUCCUCUUCGUCUCCUUUUUACCUGCUGUUGAAGAAGUCGACGAUGAUUUUUUUACCUUUUCACCACAAGAAAACGACGAGCCAAUUUCUUUCUUGAUAACAAUAUUCUCACCAACAAGUUUCUCCUGGUUUUUCUGAUCUUUUAUUAUCUCGUGGGCGAUCUCAACUUCUUUUUGUUUACGACCAUUAGUAACUGGUGGAGUAUAAUCAUCAUCGCUCGAAAACUCCGUGGGAUCCGGCGCUGCUGCUCUCUCUUCUUGUUUUCUCUUCUGUCGAAGGCUGUAGUCACUUUUCGUGCCGUCGUUGGUGGCAGCGGUGGUGAUGUUGAGCUGCGGUGGAGGGGCGUUGGGAAGGGAGAGAGUAAAUGCUACUUCUUCCUCCUUAUCUCUCGUGCCUGCCCUUUUGGUGGUGGUCUGGAGAGGCGAUGGAGGGGCGUUGGGAGCGCACAUAUUAAGCACUACUUCUCUCGGCUUCUCUAUCGUGCCUGCCCUUUUGGUGGUGGGGUGGACCUGCGGUGGAGGGGCGUUGGGAGCAGAGUGAGCAAGCACUACUUCUUUCGGCUUGUCUCUCCUACCUGCCCUUUUGGUGGUGGCGGAGCGGAGAUGCGGCGGAGGAAGGGCACUGGGAGCCGCGAGAGCAAGCACCACUUGUCUCAGCGGCAUCUCUCUCGUUUUUCGGUUUCUCGAGUGGGAGUUGCUUGAUCCCUCCAUGAGUCCUGAGUGUUUCGUUUCACAAGGUACGUAUAUGAAAAAUGGUCAAUGUUAGAGAGAGAAAGUAGAAAGAGAAAGAAAGUAGCAAGUGUAGUCCAUGUAAAAGAACUCAACAGUAUCGUUGUAAGCGCCGUCGCGUUCAGUUACGUGGGCCUCGGCAGGACACCACCCCUCCACUCGCGUCUGAAAAUCGUCCUCCCAUCUCUUUAAAUAAAAAAUCCCAAACCUUUCUGUAAUCUCUUUCUCUCUCUCUCUCUCUCUCUCUCUCUCUCUCUCUCUCUCUCUCUCCCCUCCUUUGUCUCUUUGAAAUUCGAAAACCCUAGAAAAAAUUUGUCAGUAUGAGCUAAAUCAAUCUUCUAAUGGUGUGAUUCUUUGCGAUGCGCAUAUAUAUAUAUAGGCAGUGAGAUCGUUUCUUGUAUAUAUAUAAGAGGAAUGCAAAGUUGGUGCUUUAUACGUUUUCCUGCCUUAUCUGGAAAUUUUCUCGAACGCGGAUGUGUAGAUGGCUAAUUUCCAGAAGCCUCACUUUAUGGAAUUUUCCACAAGUAUUUCCAAAUAAUGAAAGAAAUGUCCUUUUUAAUGGAAAAUCAAUAAAAAUCUUAGACAAAUAUAAUAAAACUAACUUAGCUUCUCAAUUUGAGUAGAAGUUUUGAAUUUCCUAUGUGGUCGAUUUACGAGACUUCAUACUUAUAAUCAGAACUGUUUAUAUUGUAAAUAACUAUGUAAAGAUCAUAUGUGUAAAAAACUAAUAAAUUAUGAGAUCGUUCAGUUAUUGAAUUGUAUAAAAACUUCACUUUUAUGGAGCAAAACUCUUCUAGAAAUAUUAUUUGUCAUAAAAUAGUUUUAUAAUAUUAACAAUGAAUAAAUUAAUAUUUUGUGCUUUUAAAAGAAGGUGAAUUCAAUCUUAAUAUUUUUUAUAUUGUUGCAGCUUAGUCAAAAAGGCAAUAUGGUGUUUCCCUCUGCCUCAAAUCCUCAAGUAAUUUAAUUUACAAUAAUACUAGGGAGACUAAAUUUGUAAACUAAAUUUUAAAAACUGAGGGCACUAGUACAAAAACAUACUUGAGCGGCGGAGAAAAUUGCGUCGCGCAAAGUAUGUUUGCGCAACGGUGACAACAAAACGUCAUCCAAAGGCAUUUUGCGCAACGAAACUUUGAGCGACUAAGAUCUCUGUCGCGCAAAACAGCGCACGACGAAGUCGUCGUGCAAUGUUAGGGAAAAAGCGAUAAAAGUCUUGGUUUGACGCCAAAAUCUUGCACGACGCACAGGUGUGUCGUGCAAACGUCCUUUGCACGAUGAAGGUGUGCAUUCAUUUCGUAAACCUUGUAGUCACAGACCCUGCGCGACGGUUUGCACGCGACGAAGAUGUCGUUAGGCAAAUUUUCAGACAACGUUUUUUGACUUUGCGCAACGAAGGCACCUGCGUCGCACAACUGUUUUUUGUACUAGUGAAGACAUGAAAGUUAAUGAUUGGUUUAUUACUUAAGUGUUGAUAAACGUGUUCAUUCCUAUUGGUGGCACAUCAUUUAGUUUGCAAUUUAGUCUCCAAAUUUAAUCUUCCUAACAUUACCCAUUAGUUUAAUUUGUAUAAAUGAUUUUAUUUUUUGCCAAAAGAAAAGUUGUUUUUUUUCAUAAAAAAUGAUAUCUAAAACUACAUUAAUGAAACACUCUUUGUCAACUAAAAGAAUGUGAAAAGACAUCUUUGUCUUCUACCACAACAAAAAAGUUAAAGACAGUAACAUAAUUUUACAAAACAAAAUUUUGUUGUUUUUACCUGUCCUUUUGGUGGUGGCGGAGCGGAGAUGCGGAGGAGGAAGGGCACUGGGAGCCGCGAGAGCAAGCACCACUUGUCUCAGCGGCAUCUCUCUCGUUUUUCGGUUUCUCGAGUGGGAGUUGCUUGAUCCCUCCAUGAGUCCUGAGUGUUUCUUUUCACAAGGUAAGUAUAUGAAAAAUGGUCAAUGUUAGAGAGAGAAAGAAAGCAGCAAGUGCAGUCCUUGCAAAAGAACUCAACGGUAUUGUUGUAAGCGCCGUCGUUCUUAGCGUUCAGUUAGGUCGGCCUCGGCAGGGCACCAACCACGGCGUCCUUGCCUCCACUCGCGUCUGAAAAUCAUCCGCCCAUCUCUUUAAAUCAAAAAUCCCAAACCCUUCUGUAAUCUCUCUCUCUCUCUCCCCCCUCCUUUGUCUCUUUGAAAUUCGAAAACCCUAGAAAAAAAUUGUGAGUAUGAGCUAAAUUUGUAAGUAUGAUUCUUUGCGAUGCGCAUAUAUAUAUAUAUAUAUAGGCUAGGCAGUGAGAUCGUUUCUUGCAUAUAUAUAGGGGAACCAAACCUGGUGCAUUAUACGUUUUCCUGCCCUAUCUGGAAAUUUUAUCGACCGCGGAUGGGUGGAUGGGUAAUUUCACGAAGCCUCACUUUAUGGUUAUAUUCUUAACCUGCUGCCUUAUCUGGAAAUUUUCUUGAACGCGUAUGGGUAGAUGGCUAAUUUCACGAAUGAAUAUAUUCUUAACCUCAUGGAAAUAUUCUUACUAUUAUUUAUACUAGGGAAAUUUUAUUUAAACCUAUUUAACCUCUUUUUACACUCAACUUAAAUUUUAAAUGUUAAUUGUUUAUUUUACCCUAUUGCAUAAUUACUAUUAAGUACAAAAUGAGAUUAAUAAUAAAACUCAAAUUUAUCAUUAAACUCAAACACUAUAAUUAAACCUACGAUCAUUCUUUGUUUAUCCUACGUUUAUUCUAGCUAAAACCCUAAUAGUUGUCAUAGAGAAAAAUAAGUUUUGUUAUUGAUGGAUGCUGAUUUUGAAGUUUUGAAUCCUCCAACCAAGUUAUGAUUCAAUUUAUAAAUUUUUUGUUCGUUUGAUUUCAAUUUAUGAAUUGGCAAACCAUGAGUUGCAAUUAGAAAACCAUGAUCUGACUUCGAUACGAUCAACAAUUUCAUUAGCCUUAAUUGCAAUUAGAAAACUAUACGAUUCUGCUUGUUUAUCCUACGUUUAUUCUAGCUAAAACCCUAAUAGUUGUCAUAGAGAAAAAUAAGUUUUGUUAUUGAUGGAUGGUGAUUUUGAAGUUUUGAAUCCUCCAACCAAGUUAUGAUUCAAUUUAUAAAUUUUUUGUUCGUUUGAUUUCAAUUUAUGAAUUGGCAAACCAUGAGUUGCAAUUAGAAAAAAACCAUGAUCUGACUUCGAUACGAUCAACAAUUUCAUUAGCCUUAAUUGCAAUUAGAAAACUAUACGAUUCUGCUUGUUUAUCCUACGUUUAUUCUAGCUAAAACCCUAAGGGUGCGUUUGUUGCAUCGGACUGUCCCGGACUGGACUAGCUGCAUGGACUAAGCUGGACUGGCUUAGACUAGACUAAGCUGGACUAGCUUAGUGAAGCGUUUGAUGCAGUGUCGGACUAAGAAGCAGGAUAAUUAAAAAAGUACUGUUACCAAUUUGAUGUUUGCUUAUAUUAUGACUACAUUAUUGUUCUAUUUUAAUUACUUUUUAUAUUAAAGAUAUUAUUAAAAUUAAUAAUAUUGGAUUAGAGUGAGACUCAAUAAAAAUAUAAAAACCAAAUAUUCUUGCCAAUGAAAGAAACAUACAUGAUUCAGGAAGCGUUUGUUGUACCGGACUUUCUCGAAUUGGACUAAGUUAGACUGACUUGACUUAGACUAAGCUGGAUAAGAAUAGUGGAGUGUUUAGAGUUCAAAACUUCUUUUGUCAUUCAUUAAUUCAUUUUACUAUAUUAUUAAUACACCUUUUUUAUCUUAAAAAAAAAACAAAAUACAACUAUUUUUUAUUUGACUUCAGGAAGCGUUUGUUGUACCGGACUUUCUCGAAUUGGACUAAGUUAGACUGACUUGACUUAGACUAAGCUGGAUAAGAAUAGUGGAGUGUUUAGAGUUCAAAACUUCUUUUGUCAUUCAUUAAUUCAUUUUACUAUUAUUAAUACACCUUUUUUAUCUUAAAAAAAAAAACAAAAAUACAACUAUUUUUAUUUGACUCUCUCUCUCCCCCCCCCCCUCCGUCUCUCUCCCCUGUCUCUCUUUUCUUCAUUCAUUUGCUUUGGUUCUUCACGCCCAGAUUCACUCUCAGUAAAACUCAAACCAGAAAAUAUAAAACCCACAUUUUUCCUUCUUUGCAUUUGCUUUCUCUUGAAUUCAAACCUAUAUUUUUCUUCUUUUAAUUUACUUACUUUCUCUUCAAAUCAAACCCAGAAAAAUCCCCAAUUUUUUUUUUUCAAUUUGCAGAGGCUUCGUCGGAUCGUCGGAUCUGCAAAUUCAUUUCAAUCGACCUCUCCAAAUCAACGUCAAUCGAUCUUGCAGAAGAAAGAGACAAACUUGCUGGCACAUCUUCUCUUGGCAAACUCGAGUAGGGCGUGACAGUUGGUGCGGGAUUUGGAAGAAGAAGCAAGUUGAGGAAGACAAAGACAAAGUGAGUUGAGGAAGACGAAGACCAAGCAAACGAAGCGAAGCGAUGGUCUUAGGAAUCCCAUCCUUUUUGGGCGGUCUCGCUAAGACCGGUUAGUGAAGAGUUUAGUCGGCAUGAGUCCGACGUAGUCCCAUUAAACACAAUCCUGGCUCGCACCAAACACGGGAUUAAUAUUCUUAGUAAGCCAGUCCAAUCCAGUGAUACUUAGUGAGUGCAAACAAACACGCCCUAAUAGUUGUCAUAGAGAAAAAUAAGUUUUGUUAUUGAUGGAUGGUGAUUUUGAAGUUUUGAAUCCUCCAACCAAGUUAUGAUUCAAUUUAUAAAUUUUUUGUUCGUUUGAUUUCAAUUUAUGAAUUGGCAAACCAUGAGUUGCAAUUAGAAAACCAUGAUCUGACUUCGAUACGAUCAACAAUUUCAUUAGCCUUAAUUGCAAUUAGAAAACUAUACGAUUCUGCUUGUUUAUCCUACGUUUAUUCUAGCUAAAACCCUAAUAGUUGUCAUAGAGAAAAAUAAGUUUUGUUAUUGAUGGAUGGUGAUUUUGAAGUUUUGAAUCCUCCAACCAAGUUAUGAUUCAAUUUAUAAAUUUUUUGUUCGUUUGAUUUCAAUUUAUGAAUUGGCAAACCAUGAGUUGCAAUUAGAAAACCAUGAUCUGACUUCGAUACGAUCAACAAUUUCAUUAGCCUUAAUUGCAAUUAGAAAACUAUACGAUUCUGCUUGUUUAUCCUACGUUUAUUCUAGCUAAAACCCUAAGAGUGCGUUUGUUGCAUCGGACUGUCCCGGACUGGACUAGCUGCAUGGACUAAGCUGGACUGGCUUAGACUAGACUAAGCUGGACUAGCUUAGUGAAGCGUUUGAUGCAGUGUCGGACUAAGAAGCAGGAUAAUUAAAAAAGUACUGUUACCAAUUUGAUGUUUGCUUAUAUUAUGACUACAUUAUUGUUCUAUUUUAAUUACUUUUUAUAUUAAAGAUAUUAUUAAAAUUAAUAAUAUUGGAUUAGAGUGAGACUCAAUAAAAAUAUAAAAACCAAAUAUUCUUGCCAAUGAAAGAAACAUACAUGAUUCAGGAAGCGUUUGUUGUACCGGACUUUCUCGAAUUGGACUAAGUUAGACUGACUUGACUUAGACUAAGCUGGAUAAGAAUAGUGGAGUGUUUAGAGUUCAAAACUUCUUUUUGUCAUUCAUUAAUUCAUUUUACUAUUAUUAAUACACCUUUUUUAUCUUAAAAAAAAAACAAAAUACAACUAUUUUUAUUUGACUUCAGGAAGCGUUUGUUGUACCGGACUUUCUCGAAUUGGACUAAGUUAGACUGACUUGACUUAGACUAAGCUGGAUAAGAAUAGUGGAGUGUUUAGAGUUCAAAACUUCUUUUGUCAUUCAUUAAUUCAUUUUACUAUUAUUAAUACACCUUUUUUAUCUUAAAAAAAAAACAAAAUACAACUAUUUUUAUUUGACUCUCUCUCUCCCCCCCCCCCCCCCCCCCGUCUCUCUCCCCUGUCUCUCUUUUCUUCAUUCAUUUGCUUUGGUUCUUCACGCCCAGAUUCACUCUCAGUAAAACUCAAACCAGAAAAUAUAAAACCCACAUUUUUCCUUCUUUGCAUUUGCUUUCUCUUGAAUUCAAACCUAUAUUUUUCUUCUUUUAAUUUACUUACUUUCUCUUCAAAUCAAACCCAGAAAAAUCCCCAAUUUUUUUUUUCAAUUUGCAGAGGCUUCGUCGGAUCGUCGGAUCUGCAAAUUCAUUUCAAUCGACCUCUCCAAAUCAACGUCAAUCGAUCUUGCAGAAGAAAGAGACAAACUUGCUGGCGCAUCUUCUCUUGGCAAACUCGAGUAGGGCGUGACAGUUGGUGCGGGAUUUGGAAGAAGAAGCAAGUUGAGGAAGACAAAGACAAAGUGAGUUGAGGAAGACGAAGACCAAGCAAACGAAGCGAAGCGAUGGUCUUAGGAAUCCCAUCCUUUUUGGGCGGUCUCGCUAAGACCGGUUAGUGAAGAGUUUAGUCGGCACGAGUCCGACGUAGUCCCAUUAAACACAAUCCUGGCUCGCACCAAACACGGGAUUAAUAUUCUUAGUAAGCCAGUCCAAUCCAGUGAUACUUAGUGAGUGCAAACAAACACGCCCUAAUAGUUGUCAUAGAGAAAAAUAAGUUUUGUUAUUGAUGGAUGGUGAUUUUGAAGUUUUGAAUCCUCCAACCAAGUUAUGAUUCAAUUUAUAAAUUUUUUGUUCGUUUGAUUUCAAUUUAUGAAUUGGCAAACCAUGAGUUGCAAUUAGAAAACCAUGAUCUGACUUCGAUACGAUCAACAAUUUCAUUAGCCUUAAUUGCAAUUAGAAAACUAUACGAUUCUGCUCAACCUUGGUUGUUUCCAGUUUCUCUCAUUGUCAAUUCCGGCAUCUAGAAAUGACUGAAGAGUACGGGAAGGACAACUUAAUCACACAAAGUGAAGCCUUUCUCAAUCAAGUAGUUCUUUGACAUUGCAAGGACUCUCUAAAGGCACUUCAAACUUGUGAUGACACUCUCCCUUAUGCUGAAGAACUCAACAUUCCAAAAAGGUGCAUGGAAUCACUUGCCACAAAAGCAUCUACUGAUCCUAAUUUGUUUGGGUGGCCUGUCAAGGAGCAUGGCGGCCCCAUGCAAAGUCCUGGUGGGAGUGUCCUGUGGAAUGGAUUAAGUACGGGGGCCAGACUAAAGAAAUCAAGUUCAGUUUACAGGAGGAGCUUCCUCCCAUCAAAUUUAGCUUCUAAAAAUCAAAUGAGUGUAAAAAUAAAUUCACAUAUUGAAUUGGGUUUAUGUGGGUAUAUUAGGUAUUAAAUUUGGGUUUAAAAAGAUAUUAAUAGUUUAGUUAAAAAUCAAAUGGGUGCAAAGAGUAAGUUGGAUGUAGAAAUAGGUUAGAUGAGUUUAAAUAAAAUUUCCCUUUAUACUAUUCCUCUAAUAAUGAUGAGUCAUUUGAAUCGAUGGGUCCUACCUCUAUUAGAGAGAUGAUACAAAUAAAUCAUAAGUUUUUCUUUUUGGUUUAUUAUAAGUUUAGCACCAUUGUUUCAUCAAUAGCAUUAUGAACUCCAUUGGCUCCACAUUUUUCUUUUCAAAUGCUAAGCAAUUCCGAGACUUCCAAAUUCUCCACAAGCCAAAUACCACCCAUUUUAGAUCUCUCCAGAUCUUCCUCUUUUUCAUAAUGGUCUAUGAGCCAUUCCCAACAUUCAAAAAAAUCACCUCCCUACACCAAGGUAGAAUCUCAUUGAAUAGGUGCCCCAAACCAAAAGAUCCGUGCAAACGGGUAUUGAAAGAACAUUUGACGUUGGGUUUCAUCUGCAACACCACAAGUCAGGCAAGUAGUAGCAAGACGAAUACCUCGAUGUUGAAGAUUCAUUUUAACCGCCAAAAUAUCUUUACAACCCAUCCAAAUGAAAUGUCGUAGUUUAUUUGGGACAUCCAACUUCUAUAUGUUUGACCAUAUCUUACUCCGGUCUUGUCCCACACUCGACUUCCCCCCGACCUUUUCGUCCAACCCUUUUCCCACUUGGAUUUGUAAACCCUUAAUCCCUAAUUUACUCUCUCUUUAAUCCUUUUGGAUUAAAUUAAAACACGGAUCUGGGUGGGCCUGACAAUUUCUGACACGACCUAUUAACCCGACACGAAACGACACAAAAUUAAUAGGUUUUUUGGUCGACACGAUAAGGAAUCAGGUCGUUAUCUAGUAACCCGAUAAGCACCUACUAAGAUAACGGAUCAAUCCAGUUAUACACGUGAGUAACCCGUUACAUGAUAAGAAAAUAUUAAUUUAAUAAUUUUAUACAUCUAAAAAUAAAACUAUAACUAACAGCAGGAUAACAAAUUGAAAGUUCAAAUAUAAAUACAUCUAUAUAUAUUAAAUUUAGAAAAUUGAUGAUCGUUGGAUCUCGACCGUCUAAUGUUUUUCUUAGCCCUAAGUCAAACUCUCUCUCGAACUGAACUCUCGAAUCUCAAUGUCAAACCUCAACUCCGACCAGCCACAAAUCUACAACCACCCUCUCCGAUCUCCCUCCAUCACACCACUGUCACCACAUACAACCUAGUAACCCACCACCAGCUGAUCUGCUACUUUUAUCUCUGAUUCUCUCUUUGGAUCGAGCGAAUCUUCUUAAGACAUUUUGUGGCAAUGUUAAGAUAUUUUAAAGCAAUAUUUAUGUGAAAAUGUGGCUGUGCAAAUUUUUAAAACAAAUUUUCAAACCAAAUGAUAUAUCACCGAUAAGAAAUUAACACUUAAGUAAUAAUCUAAUCAUCAACUGGCACAUCAAUUGGUUUAAAAAAUUAGUUUAAAAAUUUGGUCUCCCUAACAUUAUCCAAAUCUAAUACAACUUCCGUUCACAAGCCUGCAAAUACCUUCCAGUUCAAGGCAAUAAAUUAGCAACCAAAGUUAAGAGAAACCAAAAUAAGAUCAAACCUCAUAUAUUUCUUUUUCUCAUAACAAGUAAAAAACCUUCCCUGUUUAUAUGUCUCUAAUUUGUAUCCCUUUAGGAAUAGAGGCUAAACCUACAGAGAAAAAGAUACACAAGACAAAGCACCUCCUCAUCAUCUGUACUCUUGUGGCAAGCGAUAUCCCGGCAUUACGACCUUGUCAGCGAACAUUUUGCCCGUCUUGGGCAUGACGUGCCAGUGCAAUGUCAAGUUGAAUUCUUUACCCCGGAGAUUGGUUCCCUACACAAAGAUGAAUUACAAAGAGAGUCAGUUAUCGAUGGAGCCAAGAAACUACAACAGAUCUUAGUCUCUGAUGAAGCCAAGAAACAGAUGCAAAGAAUGAAAGAGACUGCUCGUACCUGAUCAAUGAAGCGGUACUUGUUUGAAGUAUGAAUCCAAAACUUGGCAUGUUCUUUGGUUGGUAAGAUACCAUCCCAAAGAGAGAUCUGUAAAAUAGUGUUAAAACUUUAAGCAAAGACUUAUUUAAGCAAUAACUAAAGCACUGUGCAGCCUACAAGCCCUAGAAGAUACUAUAGAGUGGAUAUGCGGAUCCGAGGGACACAUACAAGCAAAAUAAAUGGAAGAACAGUUAUUCAGUGAAAGAGAAGAGUUGUUAAUCUCAAUUUUUUACCUUAAGAAAAGCAAAAUCGAAACAUAUAACUAACCAGAAAUAUAACUUGAAACAUAUAUGUGCAGAUACCUGAUUCAGUGAGUUCUUUGGGGUUCCAUACUCAGCGGCUAGAAAAACAAAAACCUGUCAUGUAUUGCAGAUAAAGUAAAAGGGAUCAGGGUACUGGCUGGAAAAUAAAGAGACCGAAUUUUCUAAUUGUGGUAUGCACAACUUAAAUUUCACCAGACCCUAUAAAAUAAAGGAAAACUAAUGAAAAGGGUUUGAAAACUUUGAGUUUUAAUGAUAAGGACAAAAUAAAGGGUAAAGUGAAUAGUACCAGAAUUGACUUUUUAGUGUAAAAAUGUGGUUUUUCGUUAAAGUGAACAGUACCGGGUGCUUUUCAUUAAAGUUCCCAUAAAAUAAUGCAGUCAACCAUGCCAACAAAAACCGUUUCUCAACACAAAUGGUAGGUUUUGAAUUUUGGUUGGUGCUUCUAGUCCUAUGCAUGAUAGUUGCCAUCACUCUCUAAAAAAUCAUUAUCAUAGAGUUCCGCACAGUGUACCCAAAGACUACUUAACGCAUGCACAGAAUAUACUAAAAUAAUUUAAGUGAUCAUGAAUGCUAACACAUACACACACAAAUUUGUGAAAUUGCAAACCUGCUUUGUAUUCCAUGUAAACAAUGACUGCAAGUCUGCUGAUAUAUUCAUAGUCAUGCUGACCUGCAUAAAACGAAAAUCAUUUUAGUUCAUACCAAACUGUGAUUCAUUCGUACACAUAAUCUUCCUUUUUCAAUCACCCAACUAUCAUGGUCACUAUAAAUCAAAGAAGCAAAUCCGAAGUUCAUGAUUCAAAGUGUAACCAACGGAAAUAGGACAACAGUUCAAGAACCUAGGGAGCAGUUGAAUUGCUGCCAGUCAGUUUACUAUAACUUUCAGCUCUAGCAAAUGCCCUCGUAUUUUAUUUUACCUGCUUUCCUAUUGGUAGAGGAAUCACUUAAAUAAAUAUUGUGAGCUCAGCUCAUGCCCUGUAGACGUGUAACUAUCUGUCAGUACUCUGAGGUUGCACCCAAUCUCUAGACCCACCCCAGCCCAGAUAAAUAAACCUUAAUAUUAACUACGCAAAUAGAAUGUUAUACCUUAUCUACUUAAAAGUUCAAGCCAAAAUUGGGAAAGAGAAAUGUUAGGCGUCAACACGGAAACAAUCCCGUCCCAAUUGGAAUGAUCCCACUCUGUUCUCUUAUAUCCCGUCCCAAACCUCAACACGGAAACUACCACCUAUAAUUUGACUAUAGGCCUCCAUUUUGACUGAGGAGCAUACCAAAAUACCACACUUUUACAAGUUUUUAAGACAGUGAUACAACUACUUAAUCAGUAAUUUAGUUAUAAACCCAUAAGCCAAUGGGCUCGCACCAACAUGUCAGAAAGGGGUGAUUAAACUCUCUACGGAUCCUAAUACUACCGUUGUAUUAACCCAACCUUCAAUUCACAAAAUGCAUACCUAGAUCAAAUUCACAUAUCAUGUACUGAAACUAAAACACAAAACCAGGAAAUUUAGCACCGAAACCUGCAUACCCACACACAACCUACACACACACAGCACAUGCCCAUGAAAAUUUGAUACAGAAAAUAAACACAAAAGCCCAAAGUACCAAUCUUUAAACUGGAUUAAUCAAAUACUAUCCAGAGACUCAGUAUAAUCGAAAUUCAGUGAACACCCAUUUCAGCCAAUAAAAAAUUGAAUUCAAAUUCAAAGAAAUUUCACAUAUAACCCAAAAACUACAAAUCCAAUUAUUAAAAAAAAAAAAAUUGAAAGAAAUGCACCUCGUCGUUCCCGUUCAGUUGCUUCUGCAACCAAUUAAUAUUCAGCACCUAGAGAAAAACCCAACAAGCAUAUCAGAAACAAAAUCCAACUGGGUAUUUAAAUUCGAACCCAAAAAUCAAAAUUUUUUGAAAUCGUAGAUCUGCCCCACAGAGAGAGCGAGAGAACCUGGACUUGCGUAGUGGGAGUGGGGUGGUUGAGAUUAUCGGAGAUGGAGGCCAUGGCGCACAUCAGUGCCAAAAUUGUAACUGCGAAGGUCAGCAGAGCAUUGGCUCUGUACCCGAACGAAUGCAUUUUCCUACCUUCUUUCUUUAUUUCUGGGAUUUUUUUUUCUUGGAUUUCUGCUUCGUCUGGUUUUGGUCCGAGAAAGAAAAAUGUGUGCGCUUUUUGUGGGUUUUGAAGAGACGAAGACUUCAGAGGUCUUUAUAAUAAAACACAUGUAGAGAUCAGAGAGAAUGUGAACUUUUGCUAUACCGCUCAGUCAUUGGACAAGACACGUCGGUGGGGCCCAUUGUCUUCUAAUAAAUUAAGAAUUUUAACGAAAACUUCUGUUAAUGUUUACGAAAAAUCAUAUUUUUACAUUAAAAAAUCAAUAUUAGUACUAUUCAUUUUACUUUUUAUUUUAUCCUUAUCGUUAAAAUUUAAAGUUUUUAAUCUAUUUUAAUUAAUUUUCCUUAAUAAAUUAACACAUGUUUUAUUGUUUUGAAAAGUAAGAAAUACGUCAUUAAUUUUGUCCAAUAAUAAAUUAAAACAUGUUUUAUUGUUUUGAAAAGUAAGGAAUAUGUGACUUUUUUUUUAUUAGGUCAAAUUCGAAAGUGAGUGUAUAAAAUAUUCACAAAUCAGUACCUAAGUAUUAUCUAAUAUUGCGUUCAUAUACCAUUGAUACUGAGAGACAGUAAAAUUGAACUCCAACCUCAGACCUAGAAGUAAUGUUCUUAAUUAAUUGAGCUAAAAGUACUAUGCAAAUAAUAUGAGAAUGAAAAAUAAAUACUAAAUUCUAAAAUUUGAAUUUUGCUCAUAAAAACAUUUGAAUUAACUGUAAAAAUAUUAUAUUAUACUCGCCCUCCUCAUAAAAUUACAAGGUAGAACUGUAUUUUCAAAGAAUACAUGUUUUUACUAAUAACUCAGUUUUCUUUGCGUUAUGGAGGAGUGCAUGAUGAUGGUUUUAUUUAUAUUGAAGUAAGUAAAUCGAACCUUAAAGCUUAUCUUAUUUUUGUAUAUUUAUGUUUAUUUUUAUCUCUUAAUAGUUUUAAAUUUAUUUGAUUUAAAGAUAAAGAGGAAAAUAAUAAUAGAAAAAAAAAAAGAAGAAGAAGAAAAUUAAUGAAAAUGGCUUGAAAACUUUGAGUUUUAAUCAAAAGGACAAAAAUGUGUUGUAAGUGAAUAGUACCAGAAGUGACUUUUUAGAAUAAAAAUGUUCUUUUCGUUAAAAAAGAACAGUACCAUGAGUGUUUCGUUAAAACUUCCAAAAAAUAAAGAAUAACAAGGCUCUUUGGGCUCUUCAAGUGAAGGCUGCCCUUAACUGGCUUACAAAAAUGAUAUAUAGCCCAACAACAAACUUAACCAGAGACAAGCCUAGGCCUGGCAAACACCAUACACUUGAUUUUGUUCUAGGUGAACAACGUUAUGGACCCAGAGACAAGAGUGUAGAGUUAAAACACUACCUGGUGCUAUAACCUUCGUCACCACAAAAAGACGUAUAUAGUGUUAAACAAUGUGGCACUGUAAUCGUUGUCACACUAAAAAAUUGUUGUCGUCACACCAAAAAGGGCCUAGGGUAUAUAGUGUUAAACAAUGUGUCAUUGUAAUUGUCGUCAUCACAAGAGAAAAUUGUUGUUUCUUUUUAUGUUGGAAUGAUAUUUUUAAUCUAAUUUAUACUGGAGAAAGAUAGAUUCAAAUUUGAGUGUAAAAAAAGGAGCACACUACUAUUUGCAACUUGACGUCAACAAUCUUUCAAUCCGGAAAAUUGUUAGAAAUAUGAAAUUGGAGUUUGAAUCCAUCUAAGAAUACCAAGCAUGAAUGAGUUUGAGUUGGUACCAAGAAGAAGACAUGAACAAAUAAUUAACAAAGUUUUAUUUAUCCAGUCCCUUAAUAUAGACGAGACUGCGUACACCAAAGCACAAAGCUUCACAUUUUACAUAGACUUUAUUUGAUCAACAUACACAAACACCCUCAGAUAGAUCACCUCUCACAAGGGAGAUCAUAAUUUAUGGCUCAUCGGUGGAUUCAGUAGAUUCUUCAGCACCAGUGGAGGAUUUGCCAAAGUUGAAGUUGGAACAACUAGUCCUGCGGGACAACAACGAAGAGCUAAAUCCCAACCUUGAGUUCGUCAAAUCAAACUGCAGCAGAUUAUCCUCCAACUGGAGUGCUCCGAUCACGAUCGAAGCCUGAGGCCUCAACCCACCGUCCACAAACCCUAGACACGCCACGUUGGGACUUGGCUGAACGAUAACGUUAUGACCAUACAGCCUCCAGAUGUUCCGGUUGUUGUCUAGAACAAGGUCUAUGCUAGAAACCGUAAGCGCUGCCUUGUUGCUGGCAAAUUUCUUCGCAUCGAAACACACCCCGAAUGGCGCCAUGGGCUUCACUUGGGGUACCCCUUGGAGCUGAUUGAUGAGGAGCUGAGUGACUGCCCUAAAGAUAGAGGUUUGGAGGAUUGUGUAGGGAGUUGUGGUGCUGAUCAUUGUCCCACCAACCCCUCGUUUUGGUGAGUAGGGCAAGAGAGAGGUGUUGAGUGGAACCACCUUGUUGUUGAUUUUGAUGGAUUGAACGUUUAUGUAGUACUCUCCUUGCCUGCCUAUGGUCAGUGGGGUGUAGGUCAACUUGCGCGACACGUCGAUGCCCCGGUUCAUGAGAUAGGGUCCUUCCCCGAAGAAAUGACGCCAUUCUGGCCAGGUGCAGAAGGGAGGCACACGGCAAAUUUUGCUGGAAAGCCAAAGUGGGAGGCUAGUUGGUAGGGUAGGGAAAUUGAGGAGUGGCCUAGGCCAGCAAAACCUUGAACAUUUUUGGGUAGCCCUUUUUGCAUAAUAUUUGAAGGUGCACAUGCAAAGAGGAAUUGAGGGACUUGGACCAUUGGGCCAGGGCUCGAGCCUUGG